RNAcentral lists this ribosomal RNA (119 nucleotides) under Pteropus alecto (black flying fox). Lineage: Eukaryota; Metazoa; Chordata; Mammalia; Chiroptera; Pteropodidae. The record is from RNAcentral.
GUCUACGGCCAUGCCACCCUGAACAAGCCCGAUCCCAUCUGAUCUUGGAAACUAAGCAAGGUUGGGCCUGGUUAGUACUUGGAUAGGAGACCGCCCAGGAAGACCAGGUUCUGUAGGCG